Long non-coding RNA from Dermacentor andersoni, 2015 nucleotides. RefSeq lists it as uncharacterized. The record is from RefSeq and is a predicted model, not a curated record. Lineage: Eukaryota; Metazoa; Arthropoda; Arachnida; Ixodida; Ixodidae.
AUGGCAAAGUGUUCCCGACAGGAAAUAUAGAAGCCUGUGUGUUAAUUAGAGAAAGAGUACACAACAUUGAUUUUGACGAUUGUUGAGAGACAAGAUAAAACCGGACAGGUUUGAAACGCAGUUUUUGAAAGAAAUUAGGCCGAACGCUUGUUUAUUUCCUUGUUUUUUUUUUUUCUCUAGCGCUCCAUCUCUCCAUAAAAAGGUGCUUGAUUAUUCUUAAAGUACGUGGCGCUGCCUGGGCACGUAGCGUCAAUCUUGUAUUACACGUUGUUGCCCUUGUGUAGUUUUUUGUUUCCAUAAAGCUUUGGAAUGUGCGCGUUAAUCUUGAACGAGGAAAAAGGAAAUAGAGGCGCUCAGUUUUUGGUUGACACAAUCCCAUGAAGCCAGAAGACAAUGAAACUGAGAAUAGCGAUGGGACAUUAAGCAUUGCUUUAGGUGAAAUGCAGAAAUGAUAAGACAACGGGAGAACACAGCGUACGAAAAAAAAAAAAAACUUGGCUCCGGUGGGAGCCCUACCCACAUGUUGCGCAUUACGCUUGCGGUGAUAUAGCAGUUGAGCCAUAGGGACGGCUGUACUUGUAUUCAUCAUCUGGGAUAUGUGUGUAUGUGCAGAAGGACUUGCCCUUAGAAUGUUAGGCGGUGCCGCUUAUGGACAAGGCGAAUGAUGUAGAAGACUACUAAGAAUGCAAUCGCUUUUUCGUUACCUUGUUUGUUACCUUUUUCUGUGUGUGUAGAAUUUCUCUUUCUCUUGUCCUGCUCGGGAUUUCAGUUUCACUUUGUUCACUCAAAUGGUGCAUAUGGUAAAGAGAUUUGCUUAAAGUGUCUAGGCGUUAUGCAGAAAUUAAUUUCAUUAUUAGCUACAGCGCGACAGAAAGAGAAAAGAUUAGAACGAAGCGAAGACACACAACCAAGUGAACACGCAGAGUGAUCUGUGUGUUCACUUGGUUUAAUUCAAAAGGUAGUUGAAGUCAAUUUCUAAGCCAAAAAUUAGGUUGACAAUUGGGCGCUUGUCUUCGUCGCCUCGCGUUCUUUGUUUAAAGUAAACACACUAUAGAACGCACUAGAAAACAGGUGCCUAUUAUCCUCAUGUACAGUAAUAGAUUUAACUAAACCGAGAAAACGAGCACUUGUAAGCGUGACUGAAACGAUUUUGGUAAUCGAGAAAAAAAAAAAGAAAAGAAAAGAAAACAAUUUCUAGUGCCAUUUUAUUUCUCACGCUUGUAAUUUCAUUGCUUUCUCUUCUGCACCAAAGAUCUGCUCUUCCGGAGCACAAGGCUCGUACACAUAUAAUACAACUUAUGAGUCUGGCUUCUUUAAAGGCGGCGGUGGUGUUUUCACAUUCGAUACGGAACAGGCGCUAAAGUCUAAGAUGUGUGCCUUCAAGGACCAAGUCAAAGAUUUGAAAUUCAGCUUCGCCGUGUACGACAUCGAUGCCGACGAGUCUUCGAGCCCGUGCACAGACGUCCAAUACACGGGCCAGUACAAUAGGCUGAAGCUGCUCCGUAAGCUCUCGGACUUCAUGCAGAACUACACCAACAUUAUGGACUGCAAAGGUGUCUCCUAGCAACUGCUGACCGUCACUGCAGCGCGUUGCAUAGGGAAACGGCCUUACGCGUGAUCGUCUACUGGAAUUCGUGGUGCAGAGUGCACAUUUCAUUUUGUGCGUGCACCUGUUUCUUUUAUAGUGCAGCUACCCUUUUCAUUUCUCUCAGUCUCACUUAUGCUGUUGCUUUCCUCUCUAAUGUGUUUUUGUAGACGUUCUUAACUUAACACCAAAACACAGUGCUUGUUUAACGACUUCAUUGUCUGAUAGCAUACGUCGGUCAUUACGCUGUUAUUACUGUUUUGUGUAGUUUUUUUCUUUCUAAUGUGCAGAUUAGUUUGAAUUUCCGUUGUGCCUAUUCGCAAUCGUUUGUCACCAGUGUUGCGAUAAGUUCUGUUCUGCUUUCGAGCUGUUUUCUCGCUAUCAAUGUAAUGUAAUGCCAGAUAACGUAUUGAACAAAGUGUUGCCGGCG